AAACAGGUCUGAAACCCAUGACAAAGAGCAAGUCAAACAAGGUAAGCCGGCCCUAGAGAAAAAUGGACCAAAUCAAGCUCUGCCAGAGCUCUGGAGUUUAACUGAAAGAAAGAACAUCUGAUUCCUGCCCAGAAAGCAACACUGAACACCUCAUUUAUUUUGGAGCAGAGGCUGUUGCUGGAGAAGCUGGAAGGUGAGAUGGAGCACCCUAAGGUUGCCGAGGGCACCACUGCUCAGUGUAAACUCAGAUAUCUGGAAAAUGCAAGGCUUCAAAGUUAAGGAUUGGAAAGGCAGGAGGUGAGCAAGCCUGAGGCCCUCCUCAGCUCAGGGCCUUGGCCAAGCGACAGGAGCUGGACAGGGGCAAGAGCCAAGUGGAGGAGCAGUGCUUUCCGUGCGUCAGCUAUCCCUCCAGAGGAGAGUCUAACCACAUUCCCGACUCCAGUUCUCUUUAUUCUCAUAAUUCUUAAAUGACAGAAGAUGAUGCCUUAAUGUGUUAUCUACAUCGUUCUGAAAAAUACUUGCAUUUCCUUCCGUCACAUCUAAUCAAAUUCAUUAUAAAAGUUCCUGUUUCGUAACUACAAAACUGCUCUAAAGAAUGUUACUUUUUUAUUUAAAAAAAAUGAAGGGUUACUGGGGGAAAGAAAGUCUACUUAUCAAUACUUCUUUUGACUCCAAUGACAAAG
RNAcentral lists this long non-coding RNA (683 nucleotides) under Homo sapiens (human). RNAcentral describes it as "HSALNT0089373". The record is from RNAcentral. Lineage: Eukaryota; Metazoa; Chordata; Mammalia; Primates; Hominidae.